CCUCAUUUGCAGCUUCAGCUACUCAAGUGAGAGGCGGUGGCCGAAGCCCGAGCCCUUGCGGGAGGGUGGAUUGGAGCGGCGCUGGGCUCGGCGGGCACAGGCCCGGAUGAUGAGGUACACCACCUCAGCCACAUUGAGGAUGAUGCAGAUGCCAGAGGCGGCUAGCAUGAAGACGGUGAAGACGGUUUUCUCGGUGGGGCGGGACACGAAGCAGUCCACUGUGUUGGGGCAGGGGUAGACGUCGCACUUGACCAGCCGCACCAUGGCAUAGCCAGGGUAGAGCAGAUAAAAGACAUACAUGAAGACGGCCUCAAACAACAGCCGGAACACCACGCUGAUGACAUAGGUCCACCACAGUGUCCCUGAGAUGUGGACCUUGUGCCUCUUCACCUCCUCCAGGUGUAGGGGGUCCCCAUGGCCCUCAAGCCGUAGCAUUUUCUUCUCUAUGUGUUGCUGGUGAGCCACGUGCAUGGCCACGAGGAGAGCUGGGGUGGAAACUAGGAUGAGCUGCAGGGACCACAGCCGCACAUGGGAGAUGGGGAAGAAUUGGUCAUAGCAAACGCUGUUGCAGCCAGGCUGGAGUGUGUUGCAGAUGAAGGAGGAUUUCUCAUCACCCCACACACUCUCUGCAGCCACCACCAGCACCAUGAUUCUGAAGAUGAAGAUGACCGAGAGCCAUACUCGGCCAAUGGCAGUAGAAUGCCGGUUCACGCCACUGAGCAAGGUGUACAAAC
RNAcentral lists this long non-coding RNA (734 nucleotides) under Pan troglodytes (chimpanzee). RNAcentral describes it as "long non-coding RNA NONPTRT018590". Lineage: Eukaryota; Metazoa; Chordata; Mammalia; Primates; Hominidae. The record is from RNAcentral.